GCCUCGGUAGUGCAGUUGGUUAGCAUACGCCCCGGGAAGGGUGAACCGCGAGUUCGAUUCUUGCCCAAAGUU
This is a non-coding RNA of Parelaphostrongylus tenuis, 72 nucleotides long. The record is from the annotation of a GenBank genome assembly. Lineage: Eukaryota; Metazoa; Nematoda; Chromadorea; Rhabditida; Metastrongylidae.